Triticum dicoccoides is the source of this 1730-nucleotide long non-coding RNA. RefSeq lists it as uncharacterized. NCBI's taxonomy places the organism in Eukaryota, Viridiplantae, Streptophyta, Magnoliopsida, Poales, Poaceae. The transcript has 4 exons. The record is from RefSeq and is a predicted model, not a curated record.
AAAUAAAACCCCCUGGACGCCCUCUCUCAAUCCCACCGUCUCGCCUCGUCCCCCGCCGCCUGCACUGGACGCCCUCUCUCAAUCCCACCGUCUCGCAUCGUCCCCCGCCGCUUGCACUGGACGCCCUCACCAUUUGAAUCUCGCCAGAGCCGAGCCGCUCUGCCUGCGAUUAUGUCGCCGGACUCGCCAGAGAAGCCACCCGCUCGACGCCGAGCUGCCGGAGCCGCGCCCUUGCCGGAGCACCGGGUCGCCGCCUUCGCCUCGCAUGUCCCGGCCAUCCCGAUGCAUGCCAUCACCGCCUUCCGGACGCGCUGGUCCCGUUUUUCUUCUUCCUCGCCGUUGAGGACCACCGCAGCGGCCGCCCCAUCACCGCCCGACGCCAACUCCACCAUCUCCUGCUCGUCGACAUCGUUGCAAUAAGCCGAGUCGCCCGCCCUCGACACGCCGGACCCCGCCAUCGGAACCCGAUGGAGCUGCCGUCCCGCCGAUGUCGAGCCCCUGCCCGUAGCCAUUGCCUCUAUUUUCAACAGGGAGUGAAGAAUAGUUCUAUUAAGUAAGUUUCUGAGAGUGAUUUAAUCUUCAUCAACUAUUACCGGCAAGUUCACAUUUGACCAUACUUUUAAUUACCUAUGUUUUUUAUAUGCACUUAGUCCUUUGUGGUAGGAUUGCAUGGUAGGGAUUUAUGCCGAAUGGCUAUGCUCUUGCCUAGUAGUUCAUAUGAGGUAGGUCUGAACUAUACAACCUUUGUCACCGUCGUGUAAGUUUGUUUUUGCCUCGCUGAUGUAGACGUGGAUUGGGAAGUGUUCAUGGCGAGACAUGAGUGACAAACUAGUAAUCAGGACCAAGACUUUUAAAUAAACUACCUGGGCGGGAUUGGUUUGAAUGGUGGCGAAGUAUAGUGGGAGCAUGCAUGGGAAAUCCAUGCUGGUGGUGGUCUACUGCCCAGGCUCAAAGGGAUCAGACGUGUUUUCAUGUCUAGAAGCUUACGUGUGCAGCCACAACAGGAUAGGCUAGCAGAUGUAGAAUGAAUAGGUGUACCGGCCUAUUCGUGGGUAAAGGGGAAAUAGUUUCGAAAGACUAGGUCUCGGUUAUCCUGUUCUCAAACGCCAGGCAGUGCGAGAACUUCAAUGGAGGCGAUCAAGUCUUCUGGGGAAAAGUGCGCAAACCUCUACAGUGUGUUAAAACCUAAUCGAUUAGCCAUGUCCUCGAUUACGGACAACUUGAGCAUCUAGUAGUGGAAAUGUCGGGUUUUAAAUGAAACUUUGGGAAUGGAUUGAGUUGGGUUUGCCAACUCUUCCCAUGCUAUUACUAUAGUGGUAGAAUAAUAUAUUUUAUUCUACGGAAAAACUAGCUUUAUGCAAAACUAAACUUGAGUUUUCCACCAGCCAAAUUGCAUGUACAUAUAGGUUCUUUAUACUCUUAUGAUGUGACUUGCCAGUACAUUCCAUGUACUGACCUACAGGGCUGGAACGUCUUAUGUUGGAGGAAUUUCUAUGGUGAGUAAGAGUUAAAUUGUAGGGUUACGGUCUACACUCAACUUGCCGUUGGCGUUGAUGGGACUCCACACACGUUCGUUUGUUUCCGCUGAGACUGAUGAGGAUACCGAUCUAGGGAUGGCAUAGAUACACAGAGGCUGGACUGUUUGAGGUCGGGUCGCUACAGAUGCUCUCUUUGUGCUUCAAUUAUUGUCUUUUAUGUGAGCAUCAUUAAAAUCCCAAGCGUAUCUUAAU